AAAAUGAAGGCAAGAAGGUGUUUUCCAGAGGACAAAACAGGUCUUGUGUGUAACCCAGGAUGGCUCUGAAUUCUCCAUUCUCCUACUUCAGCUUCCUACAAAAUAUUUUUAAAUUCAGGACUGCAAUCUAUUAUGAAAGAUAUCCUAUCGGAGACUGGUAUAAAAGUUUAAGAAGGAAUGAGCAGAAUAUCAAAGCCCUGGGCCUGAAGAAAGAAGAGAGCAGGGAUAAAAGUGAUGUCAUACUUUUAUAAAGAGCGUUAACCAUGAAGUCAACUGCAAAAUUUGCACUGUGAACAGAAAACCCACCUCUCUGCUUGAAGGGUGGUUCUUACUACAAUUAAAGUUUCCAGGACAUCUUUGGGGGCUGUCUUGGGCACUCCAGGCCCGCCUGUUGAGCCACUGCCCCUGGCACAGAAAGGGCACAGGUGCCAGAGAACCCAGGCACACAAACGUGAAGAGCCAGCUGGCCACUGGCUUUUUUUUCCCAUGGGACAUGCCCACAAGGGGCUGGUUAGUGACUUCAUCCUUCACCCUAACCGCAGAAGACUGUAAUGGGCAGAUCGGAGUGGCAGCGAGAGCGCCAACACACCGCUGCAAGCUCCGUGGACCCUAGAGCUUACAAAUGAAAGCUCUUUCCGCUUUAAGAACACAGGCCCCAGAAUAAACAAUGUGGAAGGAGACA
RNAcentral lists this long non-coding RNA (682 nucleotides) under Castor canadensis (American beaver). RNAcentral describes it as "lncRNA (ENSCCNG00000023937.1)". Lineage: Eukaryota; Metazoa; Chordata; Mammalia; Rodentia; Castoridae. The record is from RNAcentral.